This 60-nucleotide transfer RNA is filed under the name Tricentrus sp. EMHAU-15041605. Its description in RNAcentral is "tRNA-Cys". The record is from RNAcentral. Lineage: Eukaryota; Metazoa; Arthropoda; Insecta; Hemiptera; Membracidae.
GUUUUAAUAGUUUAAUAAAAUAUUAAAUUGCAAAUUUAAUGAUACCUCGUGUUUAAGACU